GAUGAACGCUGGCGGCGUGCCUAAUACAUGCAAGUCGAGCGAACGGACGAGAAGCUUGCUUCUCUGAUGUUAGCGGCGGACGGGUGAGUAACACGUGGAUAACCUACCUAUAAGACUGGGAUAACUUCGGGAAACCGGAGCUAAUACCGGAUAAUAUUUUGAACCGCAUGGUUCAAAAGUGAAAGACGGUCUUGCUGUCACUUAUAGAUGGAUCCGCGCUGCAUUAGCUAGUUGGUAAGAUAACGGCUUACCAAGGCAACGAUGCAUAGCCGACCUGAGAGGGUGAUCGGCCACACUGGAACUGAGACACGGUCCAGACUCCUACGGGAGGCAGCCGUAGGGAAUCUUCCGCAAUGGGCGAAAGCCUGACGGAGCAACGCCGCGUGAGUGAUGAAGGUCUUCGGAUCGUAAAACUCUGUUAUUAGGGAAGAACAUAUGUGUAAGUAACUGUGCACAUCUUGACGGUACCUAAUCAGAAAGCCACGGCUAACUACGUG
This 497-nucleotide ribosomal RNA is filed under the name uncultured bacterium. Its description in RNAcentral is "partial 16S ribosomal RNA". It matches the Rfam family "Bacterial small subunit ribosomal RNA", at positions 28 to 507 of the family's 1533-position model. The record is from RNAcentral.